Molecule: ribosomal RNA, 1450 nt
Filed under: uncultured organism
Description: 16S ribosomal RNA
Rfam family: Bacterial small subunit ribosomal RNA
Source: RNAcentral
GGCGGCGUGCUUAACACAUGCAAGUCGAACGGAAAGGCCCUGCUUUUGUGGGGUGCUCGAGUGGCGAACGGGUGAGUAACACGUGAGUAACCUGCCCUUGACUUUGGGAUAACUUCAGGAAACUGGGGCUAAUACCGGAUAGGAGCUCCUGCUGCAUGGUGGGGGUUGGAAAGUUUCGGCGGUUGGGGAUGGACUCGCGGCUUAUCAGCUUGUUGGUGGGGUAGUGGCUUACCAAGGCUUUGACGGGUAGCCGGCCUGAGAGGGUGACCGGCCACAUUGGGACUGAGAUACGGCCCAGACUCCUACGGGAGGCAGCAGUGGGGAAUAUUGCACAAUGGGCGGAAGCCUGAUGCAGCAACGCCGCGUGCGGGAUGACGGCCUUCGGGUUGUAAACCGCUUUCGCCUGUGACGAAGCGUGAGUGACGGUAAUGGGUAAAGAAGCACCGGCUAACUACGUGCCAGCAGCCGCGGUGAUACGUAGGGUGCGAGCGUUGUCCGGAUUUAUUGGGCGUAAAGGGCUCGUAGGUGGUUGAUCGCGUCGGAAGUGUAAUCUUGGGGCUUAACCCUGAGCGUGCUUUCGAUACGGGUUGACUUGAGGAAGGUAGGGGAGAAUGGAAUUCCUGGUGGAGCGGUGGAAUGCGCUGAUAUCAGGAGGAACACCAGUGGCGAAGGCGGUUCUCUGGGCCUUUCCUGACGCUGAGGAGCGAAAGCGUGGGGAGCGAACAGGCUUAGAUACCCUGGUAGUCCACGCUGUAAACGGUGGGUACUAGGUGUGGGGUCCAUUCCACGGGUUCCGUGCCGUAGCUAACGCUUUAAGUACCCCGCCUGGGGAGUACGGCCGCAAGGCUAAAACUCAAAGGAAUUGACGGGGCCCCGCACAAGCGGCGGAGCAUGCGGAUUAAUUCGAUGCAACGCGUAGAACCUUACCUGGGUUUGACAUGGAUCGGGAGUGCUCAGAGAUGGGUGUGCCUCUUUUGGGGUCGGUUCACAGGUGGUGCAUGCCUGUCGUCAGCUCGUGUCGUGAGAUGUUGGGUUAAGUCCCGCAACGAGCGCAACCCUUGUUCACUGUUGCCAGCACGUUAUGGUGGGGACUCAGUGGAGACCGCCGGGGUCGACUCGGAGGAAGGUGGGGAUGACGUCAAGUCCUCAUGCCCCUUAUGUCCAGGGCUUCACGCAUGCUACAAUGGCUGGUACAGAGAGUGGCGAGCCUGUGAGGGUGAGCGAAUCUCGGAAAGCCGGUCUCAGUUCGGAUUGGGGUCUGCAACUCGACCUCAUGAAGUCGGAGUCGCUAGUAAUCGCAGAUCAGCAACGCUGCGGUGAAUACGUUCCCGGGGCUUGUACACACCGCCCGUCAAGUCAUGAAAGUUGGUAACACCCGAAGCCGGUGGCCUAACCGUUGUGGGGGAGCCGUCGAAGGUGGGACUGGUGAUUAGGACUAAGUCAUAACAAG